CCACGCCAACGGCCACGCCGGGGGAGGGGGCGGCCCCGCGGCUGCCCCCGGGGGAAGGGGGGAGCCCUCCGCCCCCCCAGCUACGCAGCGAGUAACGAGCGGCGGCAGCCGCCGCCGCAGCGCUCUAAAGGGUUGUGGUUUUCUCUCUCCCUCCCUCCCCCUUUCCUGAGAUAAAAAUCUCAGGACAGCGGAGGCCGUAGCGUUGACGAGGCUAUUAAGAUGGUAUUUAUGGGGUAAUCGCUUAUUUUAACUGCCAGCCGCAUAAAAUUUAUCCUGAGGGGAGAGAAAAGAGAAAAAAAAAGAAAGACUCGUGGAAUUUUAUUAUUAUCAUUUACACUUAAAAAAAAAAAAAACUGUUUAACAAAUGGAAUUGGCGGUGCCUCCUGCCAGCGGUGGGUCAGGAGGGCUGGCGAGGGCGAGCUGGAGGGUGGCUGGUCAUCGGCGUUUCCUGGGGGGAGGCCCCACUGCCAGGGAGGGGCUCCCCCACGAGGCUGGGGAGCGGGGGCCCCCCAAAACCCAAAGGAGGAGACUCUGGUUUGGGGAGCGAUGUGGCAGGUCCACACUUGAGUGCCACCUGUGAGCAGCUCUGGUCUACAGCUGAGGGCUUGGGCCCAAAACCUAGAGGGAGCAAGCAGAGGUGGGGACACACAGGUGAGCAGGGCUCGAAGGGCAUCCCUCUCCCCAGAAAACACCACCGUGACCAGGCGAUUUGCUCUGUUUCUUUCAGCUGUUUCUCAUCUCCGUGUGCACGCUUGCUCCCAGUGCCACCUGAUCUCUCACCCAACCUUCACGUCGCAGGGGCUGUUUCCAACCAGUGA
RNAcentral lists this long non-coding RNA (818 nucleotides) under Apteryx owenii (little spotted kiwi). RNAcentral's name for it is "lncRNA (ENSAOWG00000012596.1)". Lineage: Eukaryota; Metazoa; Chordata; Aves; Apterygiformes; Apterygidae. The record is from RNAcentral.